UUUGAAAUCUGGCCUUCGGGUCCGAGUUGUAAUUUGUAGAGGAUGCUUUUGGUGCGGUACCUUCCGAGUUCCUUGGAACAGGACGCCUUAGAGGGUGAGAGCCCCGUACGGUUGGAUACCAAGCCUCUGUAAAGCUCCUUCGACGAGUCGAGUAGUUUGGGAAUGCUGCUCUAAAUGGGAGGUAAAUUUCUUCUAAAGCUAAAUACCGGCCAGAGACCGAUAGCGCACAAGUAGAGUGAUCGAAAGAUGAAAAGUACUUUGAAAAGAGGGUUAAAUAGCACGUGAAAUUGUUGAAAGGGAAGCGUUUAUGACCAGACCUUUGCCUGGCGGAUCAUCCGGUGUUCUUCACCGGUGCACUUCGCCUGGCUUAGGCCAGCAUCGAUUUUUGUUAGGGGACAAAGACCGCGGGAACGUGGCUCCCUCCGGGGAGUGUUAUAGCCCGCGGUGUAAUACCCUUACGGGGAUCGAGGUUCGCGCUCUGCAAGGAUGCUGGCAUAAUGGUCAUCAACGACCCGUCUUGAAACACGGACCAAGGAGUCGAACAUUUAUGCGAGUGUUUGGGUGUUAAACCCUCACGCGUAAUGAAAGUGAACGGAGGUGAGAGCCCUUUCGGGUGCAUCAUCGACCGAUCCUGAUGUCUUCGGAUGGAUUUGAGUAGGAGCAUAACUGUUCGGACCC
RNAcentral lists this ribosomal RNA (678 nucleotides) under Monosporascus cannonballus. RNAcentral describes it as "partial large subunit ribosomal RNA". It matches the Rfam family "Eukaryotic large subunit ribosomal RNA", at positions 114 to 817 of the family's 3401-position model. The record is from RNAcentral. Lineage: Eukaryota; Fungi; Ascomycota; Sordariomycetes; Xylariales.